GAUGAAGAACGUAGCGAAAUGCGAUACGUAAUGUGAAUUGCAAAUUCAGUGAAUCAUCGAGUCUUUGAACGCACAUUGCGCCCCCUGGUAUUCCGGGGGGCAUGCCUGUCCGAGCGUCAUUGCUGCCCUCAAGCACGGCUUGUGUGUUGGGCCCCGUCCUCCGCUCCCGGGGGACGGGCCCGAAAGGCAGCGGCGGCACCGCGUCCGGUCCUCGAGCGUAUGGGGCUUUGUCACCCGCUCUGUAGGCCCGGCCGGCGCUUGCCGAUCAACCCAAAUUUUUAUCCAGGUUGACCUCGGAUCAGGUAGGGAUACCCGCUGAACUUAAGCAUAUCAAUAAGCGGAGGA
Molecule: unclassified non-coding RNA, 345 nt
Filed under: soil metagenome
Description: partial contains 5.8S ribosomal RNA, internal transcribed spacer 2, and large subunit ribosomal RNA
Rfam family: 5.8S ribosomal RNA (bases 1-119)
Source: RNAcentral